GUGUGUGUGUGUGUGUGAGAGAGAUCACCGUAGCCCGGGCUUGCCGAAGCUCCUCUUCCCCCGCCCUCCAUCUCCAUGUUGCUGCUCUGCAAGGCCACCACAGCUCUCAUGUUCCAUGCUUUGCUUUCUUCAUGGUGUACUCGUUUUUUGUCAUGUGGGUAAAAGCAAAGUAUUUAGGUUGGGUACUUUGAAGGGAUAUGGAAAUAUAUAUAUAUAUAUAUAUAUAUAUAUAGGUUUUUGUAUAUUGAUUUCUUUCCAAAUUUGUUUAAGAAUGUAACUUUGUUUUACU
This 289-nucleotide long non-coding RNA is filed under the name Physcomitrium patens. RNAcentral's name for it is "long non-coding RNA (PPAT_LNC012831)". The record is from RNAcentral. Lineage: Eukaryota; Viridiplantae; Streptophyta; Bryopsida; Funariales; Funariaceae.